This 465-nucleotide ribosomal RNA is filed under the name Vreelandella stevensii. Its description in RNAcentral is "partial 16S ribosomal RNA". It matches the Rfam family "Bacterial small subunit ribosomal RNA", at positions 338 to 795 of the family's 1533-position model. Lineage: Bacteria; Pseudomonadati; Pseudomonadota; Gammaproteobacteria; Oceanospirillales; Halomonadaceae. The record is from RNAcentral.
CCUACGGGUGGCAGCAGUGGGGAAUAUUGGACAAUGGGCGAAAGCCUGAUCCAGCCAUGCCGCGUGUGUGAAGAAGGCCUUCGGGUUGUAAAGCACUUUCAGUGGGGAAGAAAGCCUUGGGGCUAAUACCCUCGAGGAAGGACAUCACCCACAGAAGAAGCACCGGCUAACUCCGUGCCAGCAGCCGCGGUAAUACGGAGGGUGCGAGCGUUAAUCGGAAUUACUGGGCGUAAAGCGCGCGUAGGCGGUCUGAUAAGCCGGUUGUGAAAGCCCCGGGCUCAACCUGGGAACGGCAUCCGGAACGGUCAGGCUAGAGUGCAGGAGAGGAAGGUAGAAUUCCCGGUGUAGCGGUGAAAUGCGUAGAGAUCGGGAGGAAUACCAGUGGCGAAGGCGGCCUUCUGGACUGACACUGACGCUGAGGUGCGAAAGCGUGGGUAGCAAACAGGAUUAGAUACCCCUGUAGUC